CUGUUUUCUGGACAAAACAGCCAGCUCCUAUUCCAUCUGCUACAUUCAUCUUCAUCUUCUUCUUCUUUGCUCCCUGUGAUUUGGCGAUACUCCAUAACCUGAAAGUUUCUCCUUCCGAAUUCUUAGGCUCCGUGAGAAAAGUAGGUGAUGUUUUGCAAAACGUUACCUCCACUCUCAAAUCCGAGUUCAACAAUGUGAAGAGUGUGUUUCCUCUUUCUGAUGCCAUUUUCGCAUGUCUGGAGUUGUUGGACUUGUCAGCUGAUGAACUCAGCUGGUCUAUUUCCGCAGUUGAAAGUCCCCAAGGUAUCAUCUUUAUCUCAAGGUUCUAUAAAACCAAACAAAUUCUCCAUGAGUCUCUCAUAUAUAAUCUCAUUUAUGUUACUUAGAAUAAAAGGUAUACGUAUGUACAUAAUAUUUGUGGCAUGGCAGGGAAGCAUAACAGUACUGGGAAUCUGAGCUCUGAUUUGAGCACAUGGCUAAGUGCUGUACUUGCGAACACAGACACGUGCAUGGAAGGUUUUGAUGG
This 526-nucleotide long non-coding RNA is filed under the name Phaseolus vulgaris (common bean). RNAcentral describes it as "long non-coding RNA (PVUL_LNC001307)". The record is from RNAcentral. Lineage: Eukaryota; Viridiplantae; Streptophyta; Magnoliopsida; Fabales; Fabaceae.